GUGGUGUCACAAAAUCGGAGGCCCCGACUGUUUACUAAAAACACAAUUCAGAGCAAUGAUGUAAAUCAUAGUAUUCUGGAUGAAAUUUGCCCGAUGCCAUUAACAUAAAAGAGGUAAUGGGAAACUGUUACUAAUUGAAAGUCUGGUUAAUAGCGGUCUUAACUAUGAGGAUCCUAAGGUAGCAAAAUCAGUUGGCCAUUAAAUGUGGUCUGGUAUCAAUAGUGUAACGAUGGUCUCACUGUCUCUACAACUUGCUCAGUGAAAUUGAAUUAUCCGUGCANAUGCGGAUUGCCUCC
Molecule: ribosomal RNA, 296 nt
Filed under: Thelephoroid sp. EL7
Lineage: Eukaryota; Fungi; Basidiomycota; Agaricomycetes; Thelephorales; Thelephoraceae
Description: partial large subunit ribosomal RNA
Rfam family: Bacterial large subunit ribosomal RNA
Source: RNAcentral